GGGGUUGUGGCUCAAUGGUUGAGCACUCGCCUAGCAUGUGUGAGGUACUAGGUUCAAUCCUCAGCCCCA
RNAcentral lists this transfer RNA (69 nucleotides) under Ictidomys tridecemlineatus (thirteen-lined ground squirrel). RNAcentral describes it as "Spermophilus tridecemlineatus (thirteen-lined ground squirrel) tRNA". It matches the Rfam family "tRNA". Rfam says of the family: Transfer RNA (tRNA) molecules are approximately 80 nucleotides in length. Their secondary structure includes four short double-helical elements and three loops (D, anti-codon, and T loops). The record is from Rfam by way of RNAcentral. Lineage: Eukaryota; Metazoa; Chordata; Mammalia; Rodentia; Sciuridae. RNAcentral also lists the same sequence under 1 other name.